RNAcentral lists this ribosomal RNA (433 nucleotides) under uncultured bacterium. Its description in RNAcentral is "partial 16S ribosomal RNA". It matches the Rfam family "Bacterial small subunit ribosomal RNA", at positions 29 to 507 of the family's 1533-position model. The record is from RNAcentral.
AACGAACGCUGGCGGCAUGCCUAACACAUGCAAGUCGAACGAGACCUUCGGGUCUAGUGGCGCACGGGUGCGUAACGCGUGGGAACCUGCCCUUAGGUUCGGAAUAACUCCCCGAAAGGGGUGCUAAUACCGGAUAAUGUCUUCGGACCAAAGAUUUAUCGCCUUUGGAUGGGCCCGCGUUGGAUUAGCUAGUUGGUAGGGUAAAAGCCUACCAAGGCGACGAUCCAUAGCUGGUCUGAGAGGAUGAUCAGCCACACUGGGACUGAGACACGGCCCAGACUCCUACGGGAGGCAGGAGUGGGGAAUAUUAGACAAUGGGCGAAAGCCUGAUCCAGCAAUGCCGCGUGAGUGAUGAAGGCCUUAGGGUUGUAAAGCUCUUUUACCCGGGAUGAUAAUGACAGUACCGGGAGAAUAAGCUCCGGCUAACUCCGUG